Molecule: long non-coding RNA, 1266 nt
Filed under: Chinchilla lanigera (long-tailed chinchilla)
Lineage: Eukaryota; Metazoa; Chordata; Mammalia; Rodentia; Chinchillidae
Description: lncRNA (ENSCLAG00000028966.1)
Source: RNAcentral
AGUGCAGGGGGUCUCCCGGCAAGGGUGGCCGCAGGGGAUGACGGGAGUGCGGGGGGCCUCCCAGCAAGGGUGGCCGCGGGGGACGACGGGAGUGCGGGGGGGGGCCUCCCGGCAAGGGUGGCCGCGGAGGACGACGGGAAUGGAGUGGGCCUCCCGGCAAGGGUGGCCGCGGGGGACGAUGGGAGUGCGGGGGGCCUCCCGGCAAGGGUGGCCGCAGGGGAUGACGGGAGUGUGGGGGGCCUCCCAGCGAGGGUGGCCGCGGGGGACGACGGGAAUGCAGCGGGGCUUCCGGGAGAAGGCUGGCCAGCCCACCUUGCGGGGCUGUGGGGUGGUGUUAAUGUGGCUGCCUUGUGAUUCGAUUUCUGUGUCGCUGUUUCCAGGUUUGCUGAGCCUGCAGGUGUUGAACGAUGAAAUGAGUGACUGCAAGGAAGAGAGGCCCGUCCCGGCCACCACCCCGGGGAGGCCCGUGCAGAGGAGGAACAGCUGGAACCUCCUGAAGUGCACCUACAUGGUGUUCACCUUCCUGUUCGUGUCCUACAACAAAGGAGACUGGUGUUACUGCCACUACUGUAACCCGGACCAGGACAUCAGAUUCAGUGGUGAGCAGGGUGGAGAAGGUUUCUGUGCUCAUGAGAAGACAGAAACCAAGUGAAAAGAGGACCGCAGCUGACAUGGAAGCUCCGGAGGCAAAGAACAGUGGGGCCCUUGUCCGUCACUGGGUGGCCCUGGAGAGCCUCUUGGGAGGUGACAGGGAACCAAAGGUCUGAAGUCGGAGCAGCAGCCAGCCACUCAGAAAGCCAGAGCGUCUCCGGGGAAAGGGACCUGCUCAGCAAAGGCCCUGGGGUAGAAAGUGCCUGAGCCGAGUGGGGAGCCGGCUGAGGGAGGGUGGGGCCGGAGGACACAGAGGGCGUUUGGCUUCGAUCCUGGGAGCUGCUCAAAGGUCUCACAGGGAAAAACGGUGUUCCCUGACUGGGAGUAAAGAGGGGGUCCAGCAAGCAGCCAUUGUCGCUGUGCGGCCCAGGGCCAGCUCUGGCGGGCACGGAGGGGAAGAGGUGAGCGGCCGCCUGCCUCUCCUGCCCUGCCAGCCUCUCACCCGCUCCCAGCAGCCGGAGCCCCCCUUAAAUCACACACAGUGGUCAUGUUGCGCCCUGGCUGAAAACCCACCGAGGAACCUCACCAGCUGUCGGCAGAUCCCCAUCUGAAAAACAAAGCAAAGCCGGGGGCUUUCUCCUGAGAGCUUACGCGGACCCCAGGACAGCACUGUGA